This 490-nucleotide ribosomal RNA is filed under the name uncultured bacterium. RNAcentral describes it as "partial 16S ribosomal RNA". It matches the Rfam family "Bacterial small subunit ribosomal RNA", at positions 30 to 507 of the family's 1533-position model. The record is from RNAcentral.
AUUGAACGCUGGCGGCAGGCCUAACACAUGCAAGUCGAACGGUAACAGGAAGAAGCUUGCUUCUUUGCUGACGAGUGGCGGACGGGUGAGUAAUGUCUGGGAAACUGCCUGAUGGAGGGGGAUAACUACUGGAAACGGUAGCUAAUACCGCAUAACGUCGCAAGACCAAAGAGGGGGACCUUCGGGCCUCUUGCCAUCGGAUGUGCCCAGAUGGGAUUAGCUAGUAGGUGGGGUAACGGCUCACCUAGGCGACGAUCCCUAGCUGGUCUGAGACGAUGACCAGCCACACUGGAACUGAGACACGGUCCAGACUCCUACGGGAGGCAGCAGUGGGGAAUAUUGCACAAUGGGCGCAAGCCUGAUGCAGCCAUGCCGCGUGUAUGAAGAAGGCCUUCGGGUUGUAAAGUACUUUCAGCGGGGAGGAAGGGAGUAAAGUUAAUACCUUUGCUCAUUGACGUUACCCGCAGAAGAAGCACCGGCUAACUCCGUG